Molecule: ribosomal RNA, 760 nt
Filed under: uncultured bacterium
Lineage: Bacteria
Description: bacterial SSU rRNA
Rfam family: Bacterial small subunit ribosomal RNA
Source: RNAcentral
CGAGGGGCAGCAUUUUAGUUUGCUUGCAACUGAAGAUGGCGACCGGCGCACGGGUGAGUAACACGUAUCCAACCUGCCGAUAACUCUGGAAUAGCCUUUCGAAAGAAAGAUUAAUACCGGAUGGCAUACGAAUAUCGCAUGAUAUUUUUAUUAAAGAAUUUCGGUUAUCGAUGGGGAUGCGUUCCAUUAGUUUGUUGGCGGGGUAACGGCCCACCAAGACAACGAUGGAUAGGGGUUCUGAGAGGAAGGUCCCCCACAUUGGAACUGAGACACGGUCCAAACUCCUACGGGAGGCAGCAGUGAGGAAUAUUGGUCAAUGGGCGAGAGCCUGAACCAGCCAAGUAGCGUGAAGGAUGAAGGCUCUAUGGGUCGUAAACUUCUUUUAUAUGGGAAUAAAGUUUUCCACGUGUGGAAUUUUGUAUGUACCAUAUGAAUAAGGAUCGGCUAACUCCGUGCCAGCAGCCGCGGUAAUACGGAGGAUCCGAGCGUUAUCCGGAUUUAUUGGGUUUAAAGGGAGCGUAGGUGGAUUGUUAAGUCAGUUGUGAAAGUUUGCGGCUCAACCGUAAAAUUGCAGUUGAAACUGGCAGUCUUGAGUACAGUAGAGGUGGGCGGAAUUCGUGGUGUAGCGGUGAAAUGCUUAGAUAUCACGAAGAACUCCGAUUGCGAAGGCAGCUCACUAGACUGUUACUGACACUGAUGCUCGAAAGUGUGGGUAUCAAACAGGAUUAGAUACCCUGGUAGUCCACACAGUAAACGAUGA